Molecule: unclassified non-coding RNA, 253 nt
Filed under: uncultured fungus
Lineage: Eukaryota; Fungi
Description: sequence contains 5.8S rRNA gene
Rfam family: 5.8S ribosomal RNA (bases 1-53)
Source: RNAcentral
GAACGCACAUUGCGCCCCUUGGUAUUCCAUGGGGCAUGCCUGUUCGAGCGUCAUUUGUACCCUCAAGCUUUGCUUGGUGAUGGGUGUUUGUUCCGCUGCAACGCGUGAACUCGCCUCAAAUCAAUUGGCAGCCGGCAAUCUGGUGUUUGAGCGCAGCACAUUUUGCGCUCUUCGCUGUGUAUUGCGGGCGUCCAUGAAGCCUAUAUUUUCGCGCUUGACCUCGGAUCAGGUAGGGAUACCCGCUGAACUUAAG